GCUGUCAUAGCUCAGCAUAGAGAGCACUUCCACGGUAAGGAAGGGGUCGCUGGUUCAAGUCCAGUUGUCAGCGCCA
This 76-nucleotide transfer RNA is filed under the name Mycoplasmopsis felis. Its description in RNAcentral is "tRNA-Thr". It matches the Rfam family "tRNA". From Rfam's summary of the family: Transfer RNA (tRNA) molecules are approximately 80 nucleotides in length. Their secondary structure includes four short double-helical elements and three loops (D, anti-codon, and T loops). The record is from RNAcentral. Lineage: Bacteria; Bacillati; Mycoplasmatota; Mycoplasmoidales; Metamycoplasmataceae.